AGCAGCCGCGGUAAUUCCAGCUCCAAUAGCGUAUAUUAAAGUUGUUGCAGUUAAAAAGCUCGUAGUUGAAUUUCGGGACUAGUACGCUGGUCAUGCCUUUGGUAUGUACUGGUGUUACUGGUUCCUACCUUCUGACGAACUGUCAUGUCAUUCAUUUGGUGUGGCGGGGAAUCAGGACUGUUACUUUGAAAAAAUUAGAGUGUUUAAAGCAGGCUCGCGCUUGAAUACAUUAGCAUGGAAUAAUGAAAUAGGACGUUUGAUCCUAUUUUGUUGGUUUCUAGGAUUGACGUAAUGAUUAAUAGGGAUAGUUGGGGGCAUUAGUAUUCAAUUGUCAGAGGUGAAAUUCUUGGAUUUAUUGAAGACUAACUACUGCGAAAGCAUUUGCCAAGGAUGUUUUCAUUAAUCAAGAACGAAAGUUAGGUGAUCGAAGACGAUCAGAUACCGUCGUAG
This 450-nucleotide ribosomal RNA is filed under the name uncultured Glomeromycotina. RNAcentral describes it as "SSU rRNA". It matches the Rfam family "Eukaryotic small subunit ribosomal RNA", at positions 569 to 1023 of the family's 1831-position model. The record is from RNAcentral. Lineage: Eukaryota; Fungi; Glomeromycota.